UAGGGAAUAUUGCGCAAUGGACGAAAGUCUGACGCAGCCACGCCGCGUGAGUGAGGAAGGCCUUCGGGUUGUAAAGCUCUGUCAUCUGGGAAAAACGGCUAUCCGGGGAAAGUUCGGGUAGCGUGAUGGUACCAGAGGAGGAAGCACCGGCAAAACUCUGUGCCAGCAGCCGCGGUAAUACAGAGGGUGCAAGCGUGUUCGGAAUUACUGGGCGUAAAGCGUGCGUAGUCGGUAUUGAGAGUCGCGGGUGAAAUCCCAGGGCUUAACCCUGGAACUGCCUGCGAGACCUCAGUACUAGAGUGUGAGAGGGGAUAGUGGAAUACCCAGUGUAGCGGUGAAAAUGCGUAGAGAUUGGGUGGAACACCGGUGGCGAAGGCGGCUAUCUGGCUCACAAACUGACGAUCAGGCACGAAAGCGUGGGGAGCAAAACAGGAUUAGAUACCCUGGUAGUCCACGCCGUAAAACUAUGCAUACAAGCUGUAGUGGGGUUUUACUCCUGCUGUGGCGAAAGCUAAACGCAAUUAGUAUGCCGCCU
This 535-nucleotide ribosomal RNA is filed under the name uncultured bacterium. RNAcentral's name for it is "partial 16S ribosomal RNA". It matches the Rfam family "Bacterial small subunit ribosomal RNA", at positions 355 to 874 of the family's 1533-position model. The record is from RNAcentral.